RNAcentral lists this transfer RNA (72 nucleotides) under Angiostrongylus costaricensis. It matches the Rfam family "tRNA". Rfam says of the family: Transfer RNA (tRNA) molecules are approximately 80 nucleotides in length. The record is from Rfam by way of RNAcentral. Lineage: Eukaryota; Metazoa; Nematoda; Chromadorea; Rhabditida; Metastrongylidae.
GCCUCAUUAGCGCAGCGGCGGAGCGUCUGUCUAGUAAGCAGAAGUUCGCUUUUUCGAUUCAGUCAUGUGGCC